This 497-nucleotide ribosomal RNA is filed under the name uncultured bacterium. RNAcentral describes it as "partial 16S ribosomal RNA". It matches the Rfam family "Bacterial small subunit ribosomal RNA", at positions 28 to 507 of the family's 1533-position model. The record is from RNAcentral.
GAUGAACGCUGGCGGCGUGCCUAAUACAUGCAAGUCGAGCGAACAGACGAGAAGCUUGCUUCUCUGAUGUUAGCGGCGGACGGGUGAGUAACACGUGGAUAACCUACCUAUAAGACUGGGAUAACUUCGGGAAACCGGAGCUAAUACCGGAUAAUAUAUUGAACCGCAUGGUUCAAUAGUGAAAGACGGUUUUGCUGUCACUUAUAGAUGGAUCCGCGCCGCAUUAGCUAGUUGGUAAGGUAACGGCUUACCAAGGCAACGAUGCGUAGCCGACCUGAGAGGGUGAUCGGCCACACUGGAACUGAGACACGGUCCAGACUCCUACGGGAGGCAGCAGUAGGGAAUCUUCCGCAAUGGGCGAAAGCCUGACGGAGCAACGCCGCGUGAGUGAUGAAGGUCUUCGGAUCGUAAAACUCUGUUAUUAGGGAAGAACAUAUGUGUAAGUAACUAUGCACGUCUUGACGGUACCUAAUCAGAAAGCCACGGCUAACUACGUG